CCUACGGGAGGCAGCAGUGGGGAAUAUUGGACAAUGGGCGCAAGCCUGAUCCAGCAAUGCCGCGUGGGUGAAGAAGGUCUUCGGAUUGUAAAUCCCUUUCGGCGGGGACGAUGAUGACGGUACCCGCAGAAGAAGCUCCGGCUAACUUCGUGCCAGCAGCCGCGGUAAU
RNAcentral lists this ribosomal RNA (169 nucleotides) under uncultured bacterium. RNAcentral's name for it is "partial 16S rRNA". It matches the Rfam family "Bacterial small subunit ribosomal RNA", at positions 338 to 524 of the family's 1533-position model. The record is from RNAcentral.